This 72-nucleotide transfer RNA is filed under the name Prasinoderma coloniale. RNAcentral's name for it is "tRNA-Lys". It matches the Rfam family "tRNA". From Rfam's summary of the family: Transfer RNA (tRNA) molecules are approximately 80 nucleotides in length. Their secondary structure includes four short double-helical elements and three loops (D, anti-codon, and T loops). Further hydrogen bonds mediate the characteristic L-shaped molecular structure. tRNAs have two regions of fundamental functional importance: the anti-codon, which is responsible for specific mRNA codon recognition, and the 3' end, to which the tRNAs corresponding amino acid is attached (by aminoacyl-tRNA synthetases). tRNAs cope with the degeneracy of the genetic code in two manners: having more than one tRNA (with a specific anti-codon) for a particular amino acid; and 'wobble' base-pairing, i.e. permitting non-standard base-pairing at the 3rd anti-codon position. Lineage: Eukaryota; Viridiplantae; Prasinodermophyta; Prasinodermophyceae; Prasinodermales; Prasinodermaceae. The record is from RNAcentral.
GGGUUCAUAGCUCAGUGGGAGAGCAAUCGGCUUUUAACCGACAGGCCGUAGGUUCGAGUCCUACUGGACCCA